CUCUUUACCAAGGUUCAAAUCAAAACGACGGUCGGAGGGUCCAGACAUUUUCAAAGGUGUUGAAGAAAGAAGAGGUCGGAUAAAUCAAGAUCUUAGAAGUACAAGAAGGGAGUUUCUGCAAGCGAAAAUUCAAGUGUGCUUUGAAACGAACUGCGUGCCUCUAUAAAAAAAAUCAGCACUCGACGGGAUUUCAGAGACCGAAGAGGUGAGCUUAGAGUUCGAAAAUGCCGAUUCAAAAAUCGAAGAGGCAAGCUCAGAAAUCGGAGAAGCAUCUUGCUUUUCCAGACGCAUUAGCACCCGUCACACGCAAACUCAGCUUUGCGGAAAUCACGGGAAUUUGUUAAAGUGCCAAUCCUAGAUAUCGAAGAGGCGCCAGUCUUUUUCAGCCUCGUCAGCACCCGUCACGCGCAAACUCAGCUUUGCGGAAAUCACGGGCAAUUUGUCGAAGCGCAGAUCCCAGAUAUCGAAGAGGCGCCAUUCUUUUUCAGCCUCGUCAACACUUAUCACAUGCACACUCAGCUUGACGAAAAUUACGGACAAUUUGUCGAAGAUUUCUGAUAAAGAAGAAAGCACGUGAAGCCAUACUGAUCAAUCACGCAUUGGUUGCCGACACGAGUAAAAGAAUAGUACCUCUACAGGUACUAAAGAAAUUCCUAUAACUGUCCACCUUCACCUUUCAUAGCAAGGCAGACAUACAGAACCUUUCUUCAUCUUUGAGAAUGCAUUCCCAACGAAGCCU
This 739-nucleotide long non-coding RNA is filed under the name Malus domestica (apple). RNAcentral describes it as "long non-coding RNA (MDOM_LNC006748)". The record is from RNAcentral. Lineage: Eukaryota; Viridiplantae; Streptophyta; Magnoliopsida; Rosales; Rosaceae.